Molecule: long non-coding RNA, 657 nt
Organism: Salvelinus fontinalis (brook trout)
Lineage: Eukaryota; Metazoa; Chordata; Actinopteri; Salmoniformes; Salmonidae
Exons: 2
Source: RefSeq, a predicted model, not a curated record
UCUACAGCAGGGCUGGUGGGGUUACUGUGUGUAGUAGUAAGGAUGCUGCUUGUGUUAUACCUGGACGUUUCAAGGUUACUAACAAUGGAUCCACUCCACAAGGACCUGAGCCGCAGGACUACCUGGCCUGAUCACUCCUUGCUGUCCCCCGUCCACCUGGUCGUGCUGCUGCUCCAGUUUAAACUGUUCUGCCUGCGGCUAUGGAACCCUGACCUGUUCACCGGACGUGCUACCUGUCCCAGACCUGCUGUUUUCAACUCUCUAGAGACAGCAGGAGCGGUAGAGAUACUCUCAAUGAUCAGCUAUGAAAAGCCAACUGACAUUUACUCCUGAGGUACUGACUUGCUGCACCCUCAACAACCACUGUGAUUAUUAUUAUUUGACCAUGCUGGUCAUCUAUGAACAUUUGAACAUCUUGUCCAUGUUCUGUUAUAAUCUCCACCCGGCACAGCCAGAAGAGGACUGGCCACCCCUCAUAGCCUGGUUCCUCUCUAGGUUUCUUCCUAGGUUUGGGCCUUUCUAGGGAGUUUUUCCUAGCCACCGUGCUUCUACACCUGCAUUGCUUGCUGUUUGGGGUUUUAGGCUGGGUUUCUGUACAGCACUUUGAUAUAUCAGCUGAUGUAAGAAGGGCUAUAAUAAAUACAUUUGAUUGAUUGA